AACGCUUCUACUAAUCCACGGGUUCUUCCAUCAGUUUUCUGCUUAUCCCACUCGUGUUCCCCUUCAUGGAGCUGGGUGACCCCUGAGAGCAGAGGGAUGAGGAGGGCUUUGUGGAGGAGUGGUGAACGUGCCACGCUACUUUUGGGAAUGAUGGAGAGUUAGAAACCAUGCUGCCUCUAGGAUUAGUCUGGUCCUCACCAGGGAUGCAGAUUUUGGGUUGUGAGCUGUAAUGGAAUCAGAGGUGAGAAUGCAGUACUCGGUGCCAGCCUUGCUAUCCUGCUGGGAGCAGAGCUUGUGACCACAAUGUGAAGAAGAAGAAACAGACAAAAUCAAGUGAAUCAGGCAACACGCAAUUCACCCAAAAUAUUCAUCAUCCCUCGUUGCUGCA
Molecule: long non-coding RNA, 388 nt
Filed under: Gallus gallus (chicken)
Lineage: Eukaryota; Metazoa; Chordata; Aves; Galliformes; Phasianidae
Description: long non-coding RNA NONGGAT002170
Source: RNAcentral